GGCCCAGUAGCUCAAUCGGAUAGAGCAACUCCCUUCUAAGGAGUAGGUUGGAAGUUCGAGUCUUCCCUGGGUCA
Molecule: transfer RNA, 74 nt
Filed under: Candidatus Harrisonbacteria bacterium CG10_big_fil_rev_8_21_14_0_10_45_28
Lineage: Bacteria; Candidatus Harrisoniibacteriota
Description: tRNA-Arg
Rfam family: tRNA
About the family: Transfer RNA (tRNA) molecules are approximately 80 nucleotides in length.
Source: RNAcentral